Trichonephila inaurata madagascariensis is the source of this 78-nucleotide non-coding RNA. The record is from the annotation of a GenBank genome assembly. Lineage: Eukaryota; Metazoa; Arthropoda; Arachnida; Araneae; Nephilidae.
UCCUCGGUAGUAUAAUUGGUCAGUAUUUCCGCCUGUCACGCACUUGGGGAGACCGGGGUUCGAUUCCCCGCAGGGGAA